This 64-nucleotide transfer RNA is filed under the name Candidatus Izimoplasma sp. HR1. RNAcentral's name for it is "tRNA-Arg (TCT) (tRNA-Arg-TCT-2-1)". It matches the Rfam family "tRNA", at positions 13 to 71 of the family's 71-position model. Rfam says of the family: Transfer RNA (tRNA) molecules are approximately 80 nucleotides in length. Their secondary structure includes four short double-helical elements and three loops (D, anti-codon, and T loops). Lineage: Bacteria; Bacillati; Mycoplasmatota; Mollicutes; Candidatus Izemoplasmatales; Candidatus Izemoplasmataceae. The record is from RNAcentral.
CGAUAAAUGGACCAAUGGCCUUCUAAGCCAUCGGUCGGGGGUUCGAAUCCCUCCCGGAAUGCCA